Molecule: non-coding RNA, 107 nt
Organism: Gossypium arboreum
Lineage: Eukaryota; Viridiplantae; Streptophyta; Magnoliopsida; Malvales; Malvaceae
Source: Rfam
AUCUCAUGAUGAGGACACUUACGAUGUAACUCCUUGAAUUGCUCCUAAGCCUCAUACAAAGACUCGUUAUCCAAUUGAUGGAAAGUUGUGACCCCGUUUCUCAACAU